RNAcentral lists this transfer RNA (71 nucleotides) under Danio rerio (zebrafish). It matches the Rfam family "tRNA". Rfam says of the family: Transfer RNA (tRNA) molecules are approximately 80 nucleotides in length. Their secondary structure includes four short double-helical elements and three loops (D, anti-codon, and T loops). Lineage: Eukaryota; Metazoa; Chordata; Actinopteri; Cypriniformes; Danionidae. The record is from Rfam by way of RNAcentral.
GCAUUGGUGGUUCAGUGGUAGAAUUCUCCCAUGACACGCGAGAGACCCGUGUCAGAUUCCCGGACAAUGCA